CGGAAUGGCCCCAAAUCCUGGAAAUUCUGGGGAUUCCUGGAAAAAAAUGGGAAUUUUCUUGGGUUUUUGGGAAUUCCUGGGAAAAAAUGGGAAUUUUCUUGGGUUUUUUGGGAAUUUCUAGGAAAAAAAAGGGAAUUUUGUGGAAGUUUUUUUGGGAAUUUCUGAGGGAAAAAAGGAAUUUUCUGGGAAAAAAGGGAAUUUCUUUGGAUUUUGUUGGGAAUUUAUGGGAAAAUCAGGGAAUUUUGUUGGAUUUUUGGGAUUUCCUGGCAUAAUUUCCGUGGAUUUUUUGGGAAUUCCCAAGGGAAAAAGAGAAUUUAUUUGGGGUUUUUUUGGGGAUUUCUAGGGGAAAAAAGGGAAUUUUGUUGGAUUUCUUUGGGAAUUUUGUUGGGGUUUUUGGGAAUUUCCUUUUAUUUCUUUGGGAAUUCUUGGGAAAAAGGGGAUUUUUUUUGGAUUUUUUUGAGAAUUUCCAGUUGGGAUUUUGGGAAUUUCUGGGUGAAUUUAUGGGAAUUUCCAGCUGGGAUUUUUGGGAAUUUUCAGCUGGAAUUUUGGGAAUUUCCAGCUGGGAUUUGGGGGAAUUUCUGGGUGGAUUUUUGGGAAUUUCCAGCUGGAUUUUUUGGGAAUUUCCAGCUUAAAUUUGAGGAAUUUCUGGGUGGGAUUUUUGGGGAAUUUCCAGCUGGAUUUGUGGGAAUUUCCAAUUGGAUUUUGGGGGAAUUUCCAGCUGGAAUUUUAGGCAUUUCUAGCUGGGAUUUUUGGGAAUUUCUGGGUGGAUUUUUGGAAUUUCCCAGUUGGGAUUUGUGGGAUUUCCCAGCCGGAGUUUUGGGAAAUUUCCCUCUAGAUUAUGAGGAAUUUCCAGUUGGAAUUUGGGGAUUUCUAGCUGGAAUUUUGGGCAAUUUCCAGCUGGGAUUUUGGGCAAUUUCCAGCUGGGAUUUUUGGGAAUUUCUGACUGGGAUUUUUGGGAAUUUCCAGGUGGGAUUUCAGGCAUUUCUAGCUGGGAUUUUUGGGAAUUCCCAGUUGGAAUUUUGGGAUUUUUCCCUCAGGACUGGGCUUUUUUCCAGGUAUUUCAAGGCUGGAAUUCCUCCCCCAGGAUUUUCCAGGAUUUCCCAUGGCUGUGGUUCCCUUUUCCCGAUGUUUCCCUGCUGUUUUUCUGUCGUUUUUCCCAUUUUUCCCUCUGUUUUUCCCUGCCCUGAGCGUUCGGUGCCGUUGUGUCCGUUGUGAUUGGGAGGAAAUUCCCGAAUUUCUGUGGAUUUUAAAGGACUCCAGCUCAGCUCAUCCCAAUUUCUCAUCUUUGUAAAAGCCCCAAAACACCAAAUUCCCAUUUUUUUGGGGUGUUGGUGGGGGUGGGGUUGGGAUUUUCCUGCCCAAAAUUGGGGAAAUGUUGGAAUUUGGGGGAGGAAAUGGAGAAUUUGGGGGUUUGGGAUGGGGAAAAUCCUUCAGGAAUGGGAAAAUUCCCAUUUGGAAAGGGAAAAUUCUCAUCAGGAAUGAGAGAAUUUCUCUGGAAUGGGAAAAUUCCCAUCAGGAAUGGAAAAAAUCCCUUCAUGUUUUGAGAAAUUUGUGCCCAAAAUGGGGAAAUUCCUUCAGGAAUGAGAAAAUUCUUCUGGAAUGGGGAAAUUUCUGCCAGAAAAGGGGAAGUUCCUUCAGGAAAAGGAAAAUUCUCCUCAGGAAAGGGAAAUUUCCCUUCAGGAAUGGGGAAACUCCACUCAGGAAUGGAAAAGGGAUGAACAAAAUGGAAAAAUUAUGGAAAUGGAAUGGAAAAAAUGAGGGAAAAGGGGUAGACAAUGGGAUUUGGGGAACCUGAGGGGAUUUGGGGGACCCUGAGGGGAUUUGGGGACAUUUUGAAGGAAUUUAGGGACAUUUUGAGGGAUUUUGGAGACCCUAAGAGGAUUUGGGGACACUGUGAGGGGAUUUAGGGACAUUUUGAGGAGUUCUGGUGACCCUGAGGGAAUCUGGGGACAUUUUGAGGGGUUUUGGUAACGUUGUGAGGAGAUUUAGGGACCCUGAGGAGGUUUGGGUACACCGUGAGGGGAUUUGAGGAAACUGUGAAGGGAUUUGAGGAAACUGUGAGGGAAUUAGUUGACCCUGUGGGGAUUUGGGGAUACUAUGAGGGGAUUUGGGAACAUUUUGAGGGAAUUUGGUGACCCUGAGGGCAUUUGGGGUCCGUGAGGGGAUUUGGGGACGCUGUCACUGAGGGGCUGGGGACACUCACUGUGAGGCUCUG
Long non-coding RNA from Junco hyemalis (dark-eyed junco), 2215 nucleotides. The record is from Ensembl. NCBI's taxonomy places the organism in Eukaryota, Metazoa, Chordata, Aves, Passeriformes, Passerellidae.